RNAcentral lists this ribosomal RNA (699 nucleotides) under uncultured bacterium. RNAcentral's name for it is "bacterial SSU rRNA". It matches the Rfam family "Bacterial small subunit ribosomal RNA", at positions 806 to 1504 of the family's 1533-position model. The record is from RNAcentral.
ACGAUGUGAACUAGAUGUUGGUGGGGGAACCCAUCAGUAUCGAAGCUAACGCGAUAAGUUCACCGCCUGGGAAGUACAACCGCAAGGUUGAAACUCAAAGGAAUUGACGGGGGCCCGCACAAGCGGUGGAGCAUGUGGUUUAAUUCGAUGCAACGCGAAGAACCUUACCUACCCUUGACAUCCUGCGAAUCCCGAAGAGAUUUGGGAGUGCCGCAAGGAACGCAGAGACAGGUGCUGCAUGGCUGUCGUCAGCUCGUGUUGUGAGAUGUUGGGUUAAGUCCCGUAACGAGCGCAAUCCUUGUCCUUAGUUACCAGCAAGUAAAGUUGGGGACUCUAAGGAGACCGCCGGUGAUGAACCGGAGGAAGGCGGGGACGACGUCAAGUCAUCAUGGCCCUUAUGGGUAGGGCUACACACGUGCUACAAUGGGACGUACAGAGGGUUGCCAACCCGCGAGGGGGAGCUAAUCUCAGAAAGCGUCUCGUAGUCCGGAUUGGAGUCUGCAACUCGACUCCAUGAAGUCGGAAUCGCUAGUAAUCGCGAAUCAGCAAUGUCGCGGUGAAUACGUUCCCGGGCCUUGUACACACCGCCCGUCACGUCAUGGAAGUGGAUGGUACCAGAAGCGGAUAGUCUAACCGCAAGGGAGACGUUUGCCACGGUAUGAUUCAUGACUGGGACGAAGUCGUAACAAGGUAACCGUA